ACUUCAGGUCUUUGUUCUAAUAAAUAGCCAUCUUCGUCCUCAAUGGCAAGAAAGAAAGGCUGCUAGGAGUAAGUGGGAAGUGCC
RNAcentral lists this small RNA (84 nucleotides) under Arabidopsis thaliana (thale cress). Its description in RNAcentral is "ATSL088190". The record is from RNAcentral. Lineage: Eukaryota; Viridiplantae; Streptophyta; Magnoliopsida; Brassicales; Brassicaceae.